This is a non-coding RNA of Ciona intestinalis (vase tunicate), 216 nucleotides long. NCBI's taxonomy places the organism in Eukaryota, Metazoa, Chordata, Ascidiacea, Phlebobranchia, Cionidae. The record is from RefSeq and is a predicted model, not a curated record.
UAACAAUAUGGAACAGUAGUUAUAGUCCUUUCUGCCUUUUUGCUUUCAUCUUUUUGAUUGUGUGUUAUUGGAUGAGGUAUCUGCUGCAGUGCCCAUUUCCAGUUCAGGCACAGCAGGCACAUCAGAACUUAGGACUGACAAAUCCAGCAGUAAUGAAGCAAUAACCGUUCCGAAAGAAGUGAUAUCUUGGUUGGGUACUCUACAACAGAAGGUGAC